This 625-nucleotide long non-coding RNA is filed under the name Medicago truncatula (barrel medic). RNAcentral's name for it is "lncRNA gene41490". The record is from RNAcentral. Lineage: Eukaryota; Viridiplantae; Streptophyta; Magnoliopsida; Fabales; Fabaceae.
GGUUAUUUCAUGUGGUUGUUGAAAAUGAUGACAAGUCAACCGAGAUAAUUAAACACCUUAAUCAACAAAAAGGUGGGCGUGUUACAUUUAUUCCACUUAACAGAAUAAAUGCUCCUCGCGUCACUUAUCCAGAGUUCCGAUGUCAUACCUCUCUUUUAAAGAAAUUGAAUUUUAAACAUGACCACACUCCAGCAUUCAGGAAAUCAUGUUCAGAAUCAGGUUGAACAACUUAAGGGUAGCAUUGCUACGAAAAAAGCUGAGAUGGCACAGAGCUCAUUGAUCAUUUAACACCAGAGGAAAAACAGCUUUUGAUUUAAACCCCGAUAUCAAAAACCUUAAAGAGGAGCUUGUUACUUGCAAGAAUGAUUGCAUUUAGGUUAUUGAGCGAAUUAUAUUGAUGUUCAUAAUAUGUAUAGGGCUAUCUAUUGUCACCAUUUUAACUUCAAAUUUUGCAGAGUGAAGCACGGAAAACAGAGCAGGAAACUAAUCUAACCACUAAACAGAGUGAUAUCAUUUGAUGAUUAUGAGAUGGUUUUUGCUAAUUUUAUUGGACAUAAUAUGGGCAAACAAUAAAAAAAAAAUGCAUCUGUUGUAAAUACUUGAGAGGAUUAUAAAUUGUUGUUCU